UACGGAGGGUCCGAGCGUUAUCCGGAUUUAUUGGGUUUAAAGGGUGCGCAGGCGGGAUACUAAGUCAGUUGUGAAAGUUUGACGCUCAACGUCGAAAUUGCAAUUGAAACUGGUAUUCUUGAGUGCAGUGGAAGUAGGCGGAAUUCGUGGUGUAGCGGUGAAAUGCUUAGAUAUCACGAAGAACUCCGAUUGCGAAGGCAGCUUACUAUACUGCAACUGACGCUCAUGCACGAAGGUGUGGGUAUCAAAC
Molecule: ribosomal RNA, 250 nt
Filed under: uncultured bacterium
Lineage: Bacteria
Description: partial 16S ribosomal RNA
Rfam family: Bacterial small subunit ribosomal RNA
Source: RNAcentral